GAUGAACGCUGGCGGCGUGCCUAAUACAUGCAAGUCGAGCGAACAGACGAGGAUCUUGCUCCUCUGACGUUAGCGGCGGACGGGUGAGUAACACGUGUAUAACCUACCUAUAAGACUGGGAUAACUUCGGGAAACCUGAGCUAAUACCGGAUAAUAUAUUGAACCGCAUGGUUCAAUAGUGAAAGACGGUUUUGCUGUCACUUAUAGAUGGAUCCGCGCCGCAUUAGCUAGUUGGUAAGGUAACGGCUUACCAAGGCAACGAUGCGUAGCCGACCUGAGAGGGUGAUCGGCCACACUGGAACUGAGACACGGUCCAGACGCCUACGGGAGGCAGCAGUAGGGAAUCUUCCGCAAUGGGCGAAAGCCUGACGGAGCAACGCCGCGUGAGUGAUGAAGGUCUUCGGAUCGUAAAACUCUGUUAUUAGGGAAGAACAAAUGUGUAAGUAACUAUGCACGUAUUGACGGUACCUAAUCAGAAAGCCACGGCUAACUACGUG
Molecule: ribosomal RNA, 497 nt
Filed under: uncultured bacterium
Lineage: Bacteria
Description: partial 16S ribosomal RNA
Rfam family: Bacterial small subunit ribosomal RNA
Source: RNAcentral